Molecule: long non-coding RNA, 3110 nt
Organism: Zea mays
Lineage: Eukaryota; Viridiplantae; Streptophyta; Magnoliopsida; Poales; Poaceae
Exons: 3
Source: RefSeq, a predicted model, not a curated record
GUGCCGCGUGGGUGCACCGGGAUCGUGGCGGGGUCGCGCGUGGGGUUUUUCCGCAUUUAUGCAUAUGGAUUUUGACGGAAACGGCUGCGUAAAUGGGCAUAGUGGGGGUGCCGCGCGAGUGCACCGGGAUCAUGGUGGGGUCACGCGUUUAUGCAUGCGUAUUUUGACGGCAACAGCUGCGUAAAUUGGCAUAGUGGUGUGGUCGGGACGCGGUCGGGGUGUGGUUCGGCGUUUAUGCUUGUAUUUUUUGUCGAUAACAGCUGCAUAUCCAUCUGACACGUCGUGUGUGGUGAGGUCGGGUAGUGGGGGUGCCAUGCUUGUUCACUGGGAUCGUGGUGGGGUCGCGCGUGGGGUUGAGCCGUGUUUAUGGUGUUGUAACACAAUUGGCAGGUAAUCGUAACCGUGUCGACUCACGGAAAUCUCGCAACAUGCGAAUCGUGCGGGAUAUUUGGAACAUGCCAUGAAUAUCGACAAGGACGGUUUUGGCGAAUAUAGUAGGAUAACUCCAAAAAAACUGGGCUACGCACCGUCGCCGCUUUGUUUGAUGACCUAGGAGAGGUAGGGUAUACACGAUGGCGACGACUAGUGGAUCGGUGCAGUGUGGAGAGGCUACAGCGACGACGUUACCUUGUGGGUCUGAUGGUCGUCAUGCUGUAACUCCACUGGCUGCGUUACCGGCGCCAUGAUUCCUUGAUGACAGCAACACAGUUCAUCCAAGUUUGGUGGGAGCAACUCACCGGAUACCCAUGAGGACAAUUGGUGAUCAUGAGCAGGACACACCACAUUCUCCAAAGCCAUGUAAGUUCAGUAAGAUAAUGUCAGAAUUUGUGCAUAUUUGAUAUACUGUCCGUGCAAGUUAUGAAGUCCUAGAAAUUCAGCAUGCUAUAAAAUUAUUUUGUAUAUGUGCAAUGCAUGAUGACUCCAUUAAUUCAAUAGGAUGAUAGUAUAGAUCAACGAUUGGUACCGAAGGUCGGUAUGACAUUUACUAAUGUGGACAAGACGUACCAAUUCUAUAGCCGAUAUGCAUAUGAAGUUGGAUUUCCGUUGAAGAGAUAUAGGGAGAGAAAAAAUUGCAAGUGGUUGAAUUGUUCAAUAGAAGGCAAGCGUGCCGGAAGAGGAUCUGGUAAUCCAAAAGUGCGUAAUACAAGUUCCAAGCGAACACAAUGCAAAGCUAGAAUGAAACUUAAAAAAAAUCUAUGACGAUGCCAAAGAGAAUAUUAUUUCGGUGCAGAUUGAUCUGAUUCAUUUGGAACAUAAUCAUGAGUUCUUCAGGAAGGAUACAGAAAAGAAUCAGUUACAGUGCAACAAGACACAUGAUCCCAAAUACAUGGAGUUCCUUAGUGCGAUGCAAGAAAGCAGGAUUCCGCAACACUGUAUUAUGGAUUUUGUUUCGGAAAUGCAUGGUGGACCAGAGAAUAUCCCGUUAACUGCACAAGACGUGAGGAACCUGAAGAAAGCGCGACAAAGAGAAAGAAAUGCCAAUGAUGUGUCUAAGCUCCUCUUUCUUUUUGCAUUGUGUAAAAAAGAUAACCCACAAUUUUUAUCUGACUUCCAGCUGGACAAAGAAGGAAAGAUUUUGAGCAUUUUUUGGUCCCAUGAUAGCCAGCAAGCGGAUUACAUUGACUUUGGUGAUGCAGUUACCUUUGAUACAACUCAUAAGACAAAUCUUUAUGAUAAACCCCUGGGAAUGUUUGUUGGUUGUAACCACCAUCUGCAGUGCACCGUAUUUGGUUUCACGUUGUUGGGAGACGAAGACGAAACUGUAGACACAUUCGAGUGGGUUUUCAAUGCAUUCAAAACGUGCAUGGGGCCUGAAGGACCACGGGUAAUACUGACAGGUAUGAUUAAUAAGCUUCUCAAUAAUUACGAUUUACUAUCAUUGGAUCGAAUGCAAACAUAAUUAUUAAUGUAUUGCAUAAUGUUGUGUAAAUUUAUGAUUACAAAUCAAGACCCAGCAAUGCCAGUUGCACUAGGCAGGGUAUUUCCAAACACAAUCCAUCGUUUGUGUUUGUGGCAUGUUCAGAACAGGUAUAUGCCUUAUUUAAAUGAGUUGUACGCUAGAUUCGAGGAAGAGGAUUUCAAAUCAAGAUCUCAAUCUAUAAUACAUCAUCCUUUGACUGUAACUGAGUUUGAGGCUGCCUGGGCAAUGAUGCUUGAUGAUUUCCACCUGCAUGAUAACAUCAGUCUUACCAGAAUGUAACAUCAGUCUUACCAGAAUGUAUGAAAUUCGCAAGGAUUGGAUACUCGCUUUUUUGAAACAGGAUUAUUGUGGGUUGAUGGUCUCUACACAGAGUAGCGAGAGCAUGAACAAGCUCGUAAAGAGUGCUCAUGUCGAUGCAAACACGCCACUUCAUCAAUUCGCCUAGCAAAUGUUGAAGCUUCUGCACGGUAGGAAGAUGAAAGAGGCAAAAGAGGCACUAGGAUGCAUGGGUCAAAAGGAAACAAAUACACUGUAUAUGUUUGAGAUACGUGUAGCGAGGACAUACACAAGGGCUGUAAUGAAUAGGUUCCACGAGUCUUUGAAAUAUGCUACUGCAUACAGGAUAGCACAUGAUCUAGAUGGUGGUGUGAAUGAUUGGGUGGUGCAUCAUACUACAAGGUCGAAUAAGAUUGUGUGGGGGCAACACCAAUUCAAAGUAAGCUUGAGGAGACCAGAUAACAUAAAGCCAAAGGGCAGAACAAUCAGUGAGACAGAAAAAAGAGUUAUGAAGUUGGGCGCAAAAGGAGUCAAGAAGAACAGAAAGUGCCAAAGGUGUGACAUUGCUGAUGGUCACAACAGUCGCACUUGUCUAUCUUUGGAGGAGAAUAGGCUUCGGUUGGCCAGCCUUACUGGUCGGAAGAGAGGGCGGCCCCUUGGUUCUAGGAACAAGGGUUCAUCUGAUGCUCCAAGUUGAAAUGAGACAUCCACUUCAAAAAAACAUCGUGGGGGUAUCACAGACAAUGAUUUGUCUAGUGGGGAGUAGAUGAAACACAUGUUAGGACAUUUGUAAUGUAGUAACAUAUUUGUUAUUACACAGAUGGAUGAAUUUGUAAAUCUGAUACCAGUUGAUAUUCACAAAGUAUAAGUAAUAAUGUAGUACUGCCUGAAAUGGAAAGUGUUGUAAACUGUA